GUGGAUGAGGAAGCCAAGAAGAGUGGGAUCUCUUGCCUGCAGGGAGACUUUCCUCCCUCUCCUUCUCUUGGUAGGUCUCUUCCCUCCUUCCCCUCUUUCUUUCUCACCCCCACAAAAAACCCUUCUUUGUUGAGCUCUUUCUCAGCUGAAAUGGCAGUGCCUGGGUGUUCAGAGCUGACAAUAAUUGCAGAGUCUAGACAGUGUCUGGUAUGAGGCACACACAGAAAUCAAAGAGGCCUCUCUCUCUCUCUCUGACUUCCACAGAUGCUCUUGUGGACGGGGGCCAUCCCCCUCCUUGAGCACCCAUGCACUUCUCUGUGGCCCUUUCACCCCUCACAAUUUCUCACAUCCCUCUUUCCUUGGUGUCCCCACAAGGGACUCCCCUCUUUCUUUUGUUAAGAUAUUGUACCCUUCCCCAGUCCUGAAAAAGGCUAGAGGGCCACAAAUCUUCAAUGAGGUUCUUUGAUACUCUGGAAUACACAGAAAACAAGACAUGUUUGCUGCACAUCCAGCAAUUUUCCUAUUAUUAUUAUUAUUAUUAUUAUUAUUAUUAUUCUAAUUUCAAAUUCAACACACGCCUGCUGUGUGUGUUGGCAGAUAUGUAAUCUGGCAGAUUAUAUAUUGUUGUUGAUAUCCGUAUGCCUUGAGAGACAAUGGAGUGUGCUUCUGAGGUAAAGUCAAGCUGCUGGGGAAUCACAGCGCCUGCUGUGGCUGCAGAGACUGGUAGCUUUAAACUGCUGCCUCUGGUGUUGUUUUUGCCACAUUAGCAGUACUGAAGCGACUCUCUGGGGUGCAAGCCUGGGCAGUGUGUAUGGAGGUCCUGGGCUGCCCAGAGAACAAGACCCCCCCCCCGGCCUACUGAUUCAGUCCCAAGGAAAGGAAAGCAAUACAUCUGGCAUCAGCUUGACUGCAGGAGUUGCUAGAAGGAGGCGUAUAGGACACCAUCCAACCACUUUAGGGAAUCCACUCCGGAUAUGUGCAGGGUUUCCUCCUUAGCCUUUUCUUCUCCUAAAGAUAGCCUACAAGGCAGUGGAAGUUUAGGAUCAGAGUUUACCUUCUCCGAGAUGGGCUUGCUUCCCAGGUUGGUAAGCCCUAUCUGCCCCUCUCCAGGACAUGCAGAAACCAUCUUCUUGACUGUUGGACCCACUGUUGGUUUCGUCAGCUUAAUCUGCUGGAGGUCCCUAACACAUCAAGGGUUUAAGACCCAUUGGCUACCCUUGUUUAGCUGGCCAGUCAAAGUGGUUUCCCGGAGUGUGGCCACUGUCACACAUUGACAGCUUCUAGGAGCCACAACUGAGAGCUGAGUGGAAGGUGGAGACCAAACGUAAGGAUAAACUACCCCAGAGGGAGCAUGAGGUACCUCUCAGCAGAGAUACUAUCCCUCCCCUAAGACCCCCUGCACACCAGAUUACAAAUUAUGAUUAUGAUGAUAAUUUUAAUUUUUGUACUGCUUCCCAUUUCAAAUCCUUCCCAGUGGACGAUGAUGGACUCAGACUUCAUAUAAGCCACAUUUUAAGCACAUGGAUUUUCCCUCAACCCCCCCUCCAAAUAAUAAUCUGCGGGAGCAUCAUUGAUCAUUUUGAGCUGAACCUAGGCCUUGGGUUAUGCUUGAACCCACCUACACUUCACCCUGGGCCACCGAGGCUCAUUUGGUAACAAGAAGAAUCCGGACCUUUAGCAUCAUUGGCACAGUCCUGUGGAACACUCGGCCAAUAGAGAGCCAGCAGGCACCUCCUGUGCCAACUUUCAAACACGUGCUGAAACCUUUUCUAUUCUGACAGGCC
This is a non-coding RNA of Podarcis lilfordi (Lilford's wall lizard), 1784 nucleotides long. NCBI's taxonomy places the organism in Eukaryota, Metazoa, Chordata, Lepidosauria, Squamata, Lacertidae. The record is from the annotation of a GenBank genome assembly.